RNAcentral lists this ribosomal RNA (550 nucleotides) under Maribacter sp. 83L. RNAcentral describes it as "bacterial SSU rRNA". It matches the Rfam family "Bacterial small subunit ribosomal RNA", at positions 168 to 714 of the family's 1533-position model. Lineage: Bacteria; Pseudomonadati; Bacteroidota; Flavobacteriia; Flavobacteriales; Flavobacteriaceae. The record is from RNAcentral.
GCCCCGUAGUACCGCGACCCGGCAUCGGGAUGCGGUUAAAGUCUUCGGGCGGUACAAGAUGGCCAUGCGUCCCAUUAGCUAGUUGGUAAGGUAACGGCUUACCAAGGCUACGAUGGGUAGGGGCCCUGAGAGGGGGAUCCCCCACACUGGUACUGAGACACGGACCAGACUCCUACGGGAGGCAGCAGUGAGGAAUAUUGGACAAUGGAGGAGACUCUGAUCCAGCCAUGCCGCGUGCAGGAAGAAUGCCCUAUGGGUAGUAAACUGCUUUUAUACGGGAAGAAAAAGAGCUACGUGUAGCUUACUGACGGUACCGUAAGAAUAAGGACCGGCUAACUCCGUGCCAGCAGCCGCGGUAAUACGGAGGGUCCGAGCGUUAUCCGGAAUUAUUGGGUUUAAAGGGUCCGUAGGCGGGCCGAUAAGUCAGGGGUGAAAGUCUGCCGCUCAACGGUAGAACUGCCUUUGAUACUGUCGGUCUUGAGUUAUAGUGAAGUUGCCGGAAUAUGUAGUGUAGCGGUGAAAUGCAUAGAUAUUACAUAGAACACCGAUU